Long non-coding RNA from Polypterus senegalus (gray bichir), 2743 nucleotides. RefSeq lists it as uncharacterized. The record is from RefSeq and is a predicted model, not a curated record. Lineage: Eukaryota; Metazoa; Chordata; Cladistia; Polypteriformes; Polypteridae. The transcript has 4 exons.
AGUCUGGCUCUGCAGUAGCAAAAGCGGAGGGGUUGGUUCUGGGCCAGCAGUCAUCAGAAUUAGCUCAUUGUUAAUAUACAGCUCACAGUCUGCUAAAGUCUUGGAGAGGGACACUUUUUUUCUCCAAGGCUGCAUUCCCUUUAUAGGAUUGCAGUGCCUCCCCCUACCCUCCUUCUUUACUACAGCAUGCCCCCGUUUUCUAAUUUCAGUACCUUGCUCAUGUAGAGGCAGGACAGUGGAAGGGAACAGGGGCUUUUGUCUUGUACUACCCUUUGGGGCUGGAGAGUGGAGGGACUGCAGCGUUCGGCAGGAGGAUGAACGCCCCAUUACAGAAAACAACUUCAGCCUGAGACAUUAGGCCACACACAAUCAUGAAAGUCUUUCAGAGGGAUGUUUUGAGGCUUCCCUCCUUAGCUGGACCCAAGGGGAGCAAGAAGACAAGAACUUCCUUCCUUUCUCCUGGAGAAGGCUGAAGAUGCUUUGCAUACUCAAAAACAAAAAAAAAAUAUACAAAAAAAAAAAAACGAUUACCUCUUUUAAUCACGUAUCUUCCAUUUGUGUUAAUUUGGUGUGUGGAUGUAGAUAAGACCAUAACAAAUAAUAUGGGAUCUUUUUUUGUUUCUCUUUUUGUUUGUAGUCUUUUUUUUAAAUAAUGUUUUAGGCCUGUUAGGGACUCUGAGCCUUGCUGACAGUUGUUUUUGAUUUCCUUUUUUUUUUUCCCCUUUUUUUUUUAAUAGCAAGACCGGUCUAAACACAAAUGAAGACAAAUUCUGACAGUUCUGAGCUACAACAAUACAAUCUCCACGUUGUGAGUCCAUGUUUACAACACUACAGGUGGGCCCCGUGGCCUGUUUCGGCUUGUAGCAGCAUGUCUUCCGCUUUUCCACGACAUGAUGUUAAACCUGGUGUUUCUUUAUUUUUCACUUUUUUUUUUUUUUUUUUUACUGCACUUUUAUAUUAUAGUCUACCAGUGUUCUACUGAGGCUGAGAGUCCCCACUUUUCACUUAGCCAUUAUUAGCUUAUUAGUUAGAAUUUUGGCUUUUUUUUUCCUUAAUUUUGCUUGUAUAACCCCAUACGUUAACCAUGUCUAUUUUAAUGUAUAGAUAUAGAUGUAGAAAUGCAUUGUUUCCUUGUGGUAAGUGAUUGAGAUGCUGCCACGGAUUUGAGACACUGAUGAAUGGUGCUAUUUUGGACUUUCAAUAUGCUCCUUGGUAAAGUAGCUCUGAUGGGUUAUUUUUUCCAUAUUCUAAGAAGGUGUUGGUGCUUUGUCGUCUGGUUGUUGUUACUUGGUCUGGACUGACUUGUUUUUCUUGUUGUCUUCUGUGUGGCUUUUAUUGACUACAGGUUAAAAUGCAGAGAUGCAGAUGGUCCUUUAUCAAAUAAAAAAGGUAUUUUGCCCAAGACUUCUAGGAAAGGGAGCAUCACAAAACUGCAACUUAAUGAUUAUCCCUCCAAAUGCAAAACUGGACAGUGGCCGUGUGCAUUGAAAUAUUUGUGAGUGUCCCCUCAAGCUUUUUAUUUUUUAUUUUUUUUCCCUUAUCACAUAAAUCCCCAAGCUCAGCACUUUAAAUUUUUACUUAGAAAAACGUAAUGUGAAUUGCGAUUGGAUUUUUUAUGAGGAGUUUUAGCAUCUAAUAGCAUCAAAUGCAGCAACUUUUUUUUUUUUUAAAUCUUCGUUCUUUGAUAAUAGAACUUACUCGUGUCUCUGGGAAAGAUAAUUAGAAAUUUCAGACCUUCUGCUUCAAAAAAAUAUCAGUUUUAACCCAUCCGGCAUCAUUUUGUAGUCUCAUAUAAUUGCAAUCCUGAGCUUUAUUUAAAGAAUGACUGAUACAAUGCAAUUCAUGUAUUUUUUAACCACUAUUAAUAUAUAUGUUUGGAAUAUUAUGUAGCAGAGAGCUGCAUACUGUAAUGCAAAAUUGUAUAACUGAGCAGAACUAUUUUAUAAUUAAGUGAAACUUCAUAGGUAGAUCUAUAUUUUUUUUCCUACUGUUUUUAUAAUAAAGACAGAUUGAUGAAAUCAUCUUGUGUUACAAACUGAUACAACACCCCUGAUCUCUUACACACUUGUGUCCAUGUUUCUAAAUAAUUUACCGGAAUGACAAUAGAUUCAUUUCUUUCAGUCUAUUUUCAUUUUUCUUUAUUAUUCGAUUUAUAUAAUCUUGGGAUAUUCAGUGCAAGUGCUUUACUAAAACAUUUACAGUAGUUCGUACCAGUAAGUGUGACUUAUUUUAAUCAUAUACAGUACAAAGAAAACAAUGAAUAAUUUUAAUAUAGUUUGCAGAUUAAUUUUAAACAGUAAGUUAAUGUACACAGUAUAAGCAGUUUUGUCUUGCUUCCCUUUUCAUUCAUGCCAUCUACAGCUUUGAUGUUGUGGUCUGAAAGCCCACUGUAGCUUAACUAUUCUUAGAUCUUCCUUUACAGUGCAAUCUUACAACUUGUGUUGAACUAAGCUUAUUACUUAAACUAAUGCAUGCACUUUUUUGGGUUUAAUCUUAUUUCUUUAAGAUUGUCUCCUGUUAUGUUAGACUAGGAAUGCCAGCUGUGUUGUACAUAGCCAGUGACAGUAUUAGGCAGUUCCAGCAUUUAUAUGUUGAGAUAUUCUGUACCUGCAGAUGUAUAUGGUUGAUAAUGCAAGCUUUUGUAAUAACGUGAUCUUUAAUAAUGCACUAUAAGUAUCCUGAUGUAUUUUGGCUAUUUUAGUAGUAUUUCAAUAAAUAUGCAAGCGCCUACUUAAUAGUUAAA